AUGGAGGCGAGGCGGGAGAUCGCCAAGCGGGCGCGCACGGCCGGCACGAGCAACGACGACGACGCCGGGAGGCAGGGGAGCGCGGGAGGGGCGGCGGCGGCGUCCCUCGGGGUCGCCGUGAGGACCGGCACGGCGGAGAUGGACGGGGAGGAGUUGGCCGUCGUGGCGGCGGCGGAGGCUGAGGUGGUGGGCUCGGCGGAGACGGAGGAGCACGUCCAGCGCAUCCUCCUCGCCAUCGACAACUUCACCCGCAAGGUGUCGGAGAUGCUGGACUCCGGGCGCGCCAUGUUCAAGGACCUUGCCGCCGACUUCGAGGACCGCCUGUGCACGAUCCACAAGGAGAGGGUGGAGAAGUGGGAGGAGGAGAUCCGGGAGCUGCGCGCCCGCGACGCCGCCAACGAGCGGACCCGCGCCAUGCUCCACAACGCCCAGCUCCAGCUCUUCCACAUCCGCGAAUAG
This 459-nucleotide ribosomal RNA is filed under the name Triticum aestivum (bread wheat). Its description in RNAcentral is "partial small subunit ribosomal RNA". Lineage: Eukaryota; Viridiplantae; Streptophyta; Magnoliopsida; Poales; Poaceae. The record is from RNAcentral.